CUGGCUCAGGACGAACGCUGGCGGCGUGCCUAAUACAUGCAAGUCGAGCGGACUUCUGGGAGCUUGCUCCCGGAAGUCAGCGGCGGACGGGUGAGUAACACGUGGGCAACCUGCCUGUAAGACUGGGAUAACUUCGGGAAACCGGAGCUAAUACCGGAUAAUUCUUUCCCUCACAUGAGGG
This 181-nucleotide ribosomal RNA is filed under the name Cytobacillus oceanisediminis. RNAcentral describes it as "Bacillus oceanisediminis partial 16S ribosomal RNA". It matches the Rfam family "Bacterial small subunit ribosomal RNA", at positions 19 to 196 of the family's 1533-position model. Lineage: Bacteria; Bacillati; Bacillota; Bacilli; Caryophanales; Bacillaceae. The record is from RNAcentral.